RNAcentral lists this long non-coding RNA (717 nucleotides) under Triticum aestivum (bread wheat). RNAcentral describes it as "long non-coding RNA (TAES_LNC022830)". Lineage: Eukaryota; Viridiplantae; Streptophyta; Magnoliopsida; Poales; Poaceae. The record is from RNAcentral.
UGUAUGUGGAGAAGAUAACUGGGUCGAUUGAUUUGAUGUUAAUUUGUUUGCUUCACUCUGUUUAUUUAUGGCUACGACGGCGGCGGCGGCACACGAGGUAAAUUAAACCCAACCCCCUUCGCGUUCCCGUCCAUUCCAUCGCCCACCUUGUGUUCCUAGCUGACGAACCCCUUUCCUGCUCCCCCCUUUCCGGCGAUUGAAGAUGAGGCGCAGGUGGGCGCCGAGGGGGAGAGCCAGCAGCCGGUGCUGGAGUACGAGGAGAGGAUCCACAAGUUCCCCGGUGUGGUAAAAUUACCGACCUAACUCUGAAUCCUAGUUAAUUUCGCUACUUUCCUAAUCACUCUGCGAACAAGCAGAUCGGCCAGAAACCUUAUGUUUGCUGUCCAAUGUCAAUGGUGGGGCUCGAAACCCUGGAAGCAUGUUGAACCUCAUGAAUAGACCUGAAUAUUUGUUUUAGGUAGAUGCUUGACCAUUAUGCUUUGGAAGAGUGCACGUGAGUCUACCAUUUGAAACUAUAGUUGACCAAUCUAAUUUGGCAUGACCAGUUGUAGCGUCUCGGUGAUAAAAGGUUUAACAAUAUCGAGGGAUUUUGUUCGACCUUUGCAUUUUACUCAGGUUGCAAUUCGUGUAGCACAAAGUAGUAUAUUUAUUGGUCCAUGUGUUUGUAGAUAAUAAUGGAUUUGAAUGUCUGAAUGUCACAUUAUGUCACUAUAAAUG